UACAGAGGUGGCAAGCGUUGUUCGGAAUUACUGGGCGUAAAGGGCGCGUAGGCGGCCUUCUAAGUCAGACGUGAAAUCCCCAGGCUUAACUUGGGAACUGCGUCUGAUACUGGGAGGCUUGAGUGCGGGAGAGGGAUGUGGAAUUCCAGGUGUAGCGGUGAAAUGCGUAGAUAUCUGGAGGAACACCGGUGGCGAGGGCGGCAUCCUGGACCGACACUGACGCUGAGGCGCGAAAGCUAGGGGAGCAAACGGG
This 253-nucleotide ribosomal RNA is filed under the name uncultured bacterium. Its description in RNAcentral is "partial 16S ribosomal RNA". It matches the Rfam family "Bacterial small subunit ribosomal RNA", at positions 524 to 776 of the family's 1533-position model. The record is from RNAcentral.